UGGGGAAUAUUGCACAAUGGGCGCAAGCCCGAUGCAGCGACGCCGCGUGCGGGAUGGAGGCCUUGGUUGUAACCGCUUUGUUCAAGGGCAAGGCAGGCUUUCGGGCCUGUUGAGUGGAUUGUUCGAAUAAGCACCGGCUAACUACGUGCC
RNAcentral lists this ribosomal RNA (150 nucleotides) under uncultured bacterium. RNAcentral describes it as "partial 16S ribosomal RNA". It matches the Rfam family "Bacterial small subunit ribosomal RNA", at positions 355 to 509 of the family's 1533-position model. The record is from RNAcentral.